Molecule: unclassified non-coding RNA, 335 nt
Filed under: soil metagenome
Description: partial contains 5.8S ribosomal RNA, internal transcribed spacer 2, and large subunit ribosomal RNA
Rfam family: 5.8S ribosomal RNA (bases 1-120)
Source: RNAcentral
GAUGAAGAACGCAGCGAAAUGCGAUAAGUAGUGUGAAUUGCAGAAUUCAGUGAAUCAUCGAAUCUUUGAACGCACAUUGCGCCCUUUGGUAUUCCUUAGGGCAUGCCUGUUCGAGCGUCAUUUAAACCUUCAAGCUCAGCUUGGUGAUGGGUGACUGUCCCCCCCUCGCGGGGGGACUCGCCUCAAAAACAUUGGCGGCCGGUACAUUGGCUUCGAGCGCAGCAGAAACGCGGUCUCGAGCCCGGUGGAUCGGCUCCCAUAAGUCUAUUCUUUUAUUUUGACCUCGGAUCAGGUAGGGAUACCCGCUGAACUUAAGCAUAUCAAUAAGCGGAGGA